AGGGUUAACACUUAUGCAAUUCCAGAGAUGUCACUACCAAAUUAACAAAAAAGGGAGAAAUAGAUGCACAGCUAUCGUCCCUCAAUUUUUUCAACGACUGCCAACGACCUUGACAAAAACCUUAGAAAACUGAUGGUUGUGCUUCAGUCAGACAGUCGAAUCUGUCACUGUUAAUUUGUGUAUAAAUUUGUCGAUUUUCCCAUAGAAAAUAAUAAAAAUUCAUUGAUGAAAUAGAUGAUUCGAUUGUUAUACCGAAAACAAAAACGUCAAACUGCAUUAUUGGCAGUACUGUAAUAAGAUGUUUGGAACGUAUGGAAUUUGAAACUUCGAGAAUGUGUGUGUGUGAGAGAGAAAGAAAAACAAAAUAGACUAUUCGUAAAAAAAUGAUAACCGACAACUUGUGACAAAAACUUCUGACAAGUGAAGGUUACCAAAGUUUUACUCGUAUAAUUAUUUAAAAAAUCUACAAUUGGAAACAAGCGAACACUGGAGAGCACUACAGAGACGACACACAUGACAUAUCGAAUAUCGCGUGCAACAAGCUGCAGUGACGUUGUUUUCAAUAAUUCUGACGUUUCGUUCGUCUCUAUAAUUGGCGGAACAUCACAAACGGUUCAUUCCACUUCCGGUUGCGAUUAAAAGAGUUCGUAUAAAAACCAGGGAAUAUAGAAUAUAGAUCGGAAAAGGAACAAUAAUUUCUUCAUACGAGAGUGAGAAAGAGGAAAAGGAGAGUGAGAGCGAUCGACCGAGAAAGAAAAAUUAAUCUUUUGACUUGGAGUCACGAACAACAUCUGUUGGUAUUCUGUCUUUCAUCACGUCGCGAAGUUUUCCGGAAAAGUAUCUCGUUUCGUCAAAUCAUUACGAGUGAACCAUCGUCAAUCUUGAGAAAUUUCGUGAGAGUGUCAUUCACGAAAUAAUAGACAAGAACGCAAAAGUCACAUCAACGAAAUAAAAAAAAAAGAAUCGAGAAAUCGCGACUGAGUCACGAGCAAGUGUUUUAUCUUUUAUUAUGCGUCGCCUCAAGUGAAUAUUGUGAAGUAAAAUCCAAAAAUGGCUGCCAACGAUCAACAGCACAAGAACAUUCAGGAUUUGAGAGAACCAGCUCAUCAUGCCAGAAGGCCAAUGAAUGCAUUUUUGAUAUUUUGUAAAAAGCAUCGAAGUUCAGUGAGAAAAUCUUUCCCAAAUUUGGAGAAUAGAGCUGUUACCAGGGUUCUUGGUGAGUGGUGGGCCACUCUAGGCCCGGAACAGAAAUGUGAUUACACCAACUUGGCGCAAGAUUAUAAAGAUGCGUUUCUCAAUGCAAAUCCAGAUUUCAAAUGGUACAAAUUACCAGCCCCACCUUUACGAACAUUAACAACAAGACCACGAAAUAAAAAAUCAGAAAUCGAUGUCAGCGAAGAAAAUUUAGAGGACGAAUCCAAUUACGACAGCAUCAACAAUGAAAAAACUACUACGUCCGAAGAAGAUGCUUCCAUACAGCCAGGAAAAUUGGCUGAUGAAACUCAAAUUGGGGGUCUGAGUUCUCUUUUCACUCCUCAAAAAAAUUCCACAGAGGUUGAGGCUAACAAAGAAUCAAAGUCCCAAAAUUUGGCAGACAAUGCUCCAGAAAGUCCCAAAAAACUGUACACGGAUGUUCCAAUUGACAACGAACAGAGAAGGAAAUGCACUGUCGAUCUCUUUUGCAAUGAGAAAUUAAACAACACAGAAUCCAACAACAAUGAACAUCAUCAAUUGAACGAGGAGGAGAAAAAUGAAACGGGAGAAGAAAAUAAUUUUCGAACCGAAAGAAGCUGCAAAGGCUUACGAUAUCAGCAAUUAAUGGCUGAACAGCAAAGGAAUGUGGGUGCAAUAGGUCAUCAACCAAAACGACGACGUCCAGGAACUUUGAAUACUCACGAAGAACGACCAAAGGAAAGAAGGAACUCAAUUUCUUCGAACGUGAGUGAAAAAACAGAUUCUCUAAGCAGCGAAGGUGCAAAUAGUACACGCAGUGAUUUGGAACAUCUUGUUGAGAGUGCCGAAGGUAAAUUAGAAGCAUCAAAACCUGAGGAAACCGAAACCGAAGGUGCCGAGUCACACCACAAUUAUAGCGAGUGGCCAUCAUAUAAAAGGUUCAAGGCUGAGGAUUUUAACUUGGAGAAAAAGAUAGAGGCUUUACCGGAGCUGAGCCUCGAAGAAUUUCAGGGCAAGAAGAAGCAGCAACGAACGAAAAAGAAAAAAAUCACGCAAAAGAUAAGUUCUUCUGUGGGAAAACAUAAUUCGUUGCUUCAGGGUCACGUCAGCGGAGAUUUACCUGGAACGAUCAAUGAAUUCAUCGAUUCCCAUGAAGAUUCCGACAAAUCUCUCCUCGUUGGAAGCCAAAAACGAAAAGCCAGGAAACAAAGUAUAACACGAAAUACUGCAGCAACGAGUGUCUCAAAAAAUGAUAAAAACCAGACCGAUAACAAACAACAAAGCGAUUUUAAGUUUCCUUACGUACUUGAAAAAUUGGGAGGACUCUGUACCGAGCAGAGAAAUACCAAUUUCAUCUAGUACCAUGAACGGCUUGAAAGUAACCCUGGGUGCAACCGUUGAGAUAUUGGAUGCCCUUCGCGUAGAAUCAAAUUUCGAAUACCUCAUGACAGCACGUUUAAGGGGAAAUAUACACCUAGAUGUUCGGAAAAAAUGGAUUUUUUUUUCCAUUUUCUUCAAGAUUGUGGUCUCAAGAAUAUCUUUUCAAAACGGUAAAGCAAUACCUCGAUAAAUAAGAGAGUUAUACCAAUAAGUGCAAUACACAAAAUUUUCGUUUGCGAAUAGAUAUUGAAAAUAGCCAGCGCAGUUACAAACAAAAAAGGUCGAAUACGGCGCCGCUAACAAAAUUUGGAAGCCAUGAACAUGGCGUUGACCGUAGACGACCUGCACUAUGGGACUGGUAUAUGGAUGAUUCCAUAGAUUUUUUGGUAUGAUGCGUAACGCAGGCGGCAGCAAUGACCAUCCGGACCCAAAAUUCUUCAUCCAAACUUUUAGAUUGCUCUGCAGCUACUCUUUGGUGAAACCGCCGAGAGGCUCCAACGUCGAUGGGGGAAAAUGGGAUAAAAUCAAAAAGAAUGCGUAAGAAUGCAAAGCUGUAAGCUCCGUGCAGUCUACAUCAUCAGGAAAACGAAAUUCGAAAUGUAGAUUAUGUGGAGGUCGUUCUUCUAGUGGGAAUGAGAAAACGUCUCGUGAAUUGACUGAUCGUGAUUGCUUCCCGAGCGGCCAAUAUUUUGACUCUACAACGAAUGAAUCACCAAUUUUCUCAAGAUUUAUGAUAGUGCGAAGUGAUGUUUGCGCAAUGUUAGUUAUGCUGAUUUGUUGUUAAAUUUCAUUUUACAAAUUAUAUGUUUGGCCAUUUAUCGAGAUAAUUUAUUUAUACGAAUUUCCAACUAAUAAUGAAAAAAAAAAACAUUCAUCGAUGAAUUUAAACAUGCGAAAUUAUCAACUGAAUAAAAUUGAAAGCUGAUCAAAAAUAAAAAAAUUUUCAAUACA
Molecule: unclassified non-coding RNA, 3504 nt
Filed under: Venturia canescens
Lineage: Eukaryota; Metazoa; Arthropoda; Insecta; Hymenoptera; Ichneumonidae
Description: hMG box transcription factor BBX, transcript variant X2
Source: RNAcentral